AGUGAACGCUGGCGGUAGGCCUAACACAUGCAAGUCGAACGGCAGCACAGUAAGAGCUUGCUCUUACGGGUGGCGAGUGGCGGACGGGUGAGGAAUACAUCGGAAUCUACUUUUUCGUGGGGGAUAACGUAGGGAAACUUACGCUAAUACCGCAUACGACCUACGGGUGAAAGCAGGGGAUCUUCGGACCUUUUGCGAUUGAAUGAGCCGAUGUCGGAUUAGCUAGUUGGCGGGGUAAAGGCCCACCAAGGCGACGAUCCGUAGCUGGUCUGAGAGGAUGAUCAGCCACCCUGGAAGUGAGAAACGGUCCAGACUCCUACGGGAGGCAGCAGUGGGGAAUAUUGGGCAAUGGGCGAAAGCCUGAUCCAGCAAUACCGCGUGAGUGAAGAAGGCCUUCGGGUUGUAAAGCCCUUUUGUUGGGAAAGAAAAACAGCAGGUUAAUACGCCGCUGUUCUGACGGUACCCAAAGAAUAAGCACCGGCUAACUUCGUG
This 492-nucleotide ribosomal RNA is filed under the name uncultured bacterium. RNAcentral describes it as "partial 16S ribosomal RNA". It matches the Rfam family "Bacterial small subunit ribosomal RNA", at positions 29 to 507 of the family's 1533-position model. The record is from RNAcentral.